Mobula hypostoma (lesser devil ray) is the source of this 602-nucleotide long non-coding RNA. RefSeq lists it as uncharacterized. The record is from RefSeq and is a predicted model, not a curated record. Lineage: Eukaryota; Metazoa; Chordata; Chondrichthyes; Myliobatiformes; Myliobatidae. The transcript has 3 exons.
ACAGUGCCAGAAACUUGUGUACUGGUGGCUGAAAGAGACUUAGUACUGUACGAGCAAGAGCCAGCUGAGGAGUAAACUUUAAAUGUGCCUGUGGAAUUUCAGGUUUCUCUUCCCAGCAAAGCUGAGCAAAAUGUGAUCAUUCACUCUCCAGAGAAGUUUUUGAGAGCGCAGGCUGUACCAAAACAACAUUUGCUGUGGGUUCUUCUGAAGACCCUGACCUGGAGCUAGCCGAGGAUCUCGGGGCUCUGGAGAUGGGUGGAUUGAGGGGUGGUGUCACAACGUGAGACCCGUGUGUCGUUGGGGGAGUCAGGAUAGCUGCUGUGUGGCUGGAGACCCGGGACCUUUGCGAUCUUCAGGCACAGAGCUCAAAAAAAGUGACGUAAUGGACUUUUAACAUCGUAAACCAGCGAGUUGUUUGUUAUGUCUGCCCGCUUGCUGGGAAAAUGGAGACUCCUCUUUCUCCCUUAUUAGGAAGAGAGAGAACUUGCGUGACACACAUCAAAGUUGCUGGUUGAAUGCAGCAGGCCAGGCAGCAUCUCUAGGAAGAGGUACAGUCGACGUUUCGGGCCGAGACCCUUCGUCAGGACCCUAGCGCUCUGGUU